This 601-nucleotide ribosomal RNA is filed under the name uncultured marine bacterium. RNAcentral describes it as "bacterial SSU rRNA". It matches the Rfam family "Bacterial small subunit ribosomal RNA", at positions 60 to 706 of the family's 1533-position model. The record is from RNAcentral.
AGUCGAACGAAGUAGCAAUACUUAGUGGCAGACGGGUGAGUAACAUGUAGGUAUCUUCCCUUUGGUGAGGAAUAACACGAGGAAACUUGUGCUAAUACCUCAUAAGUCUUUACGGAGAAAGCUUUAUGCGCCAAUGGAUGAGCCUGCACUUGAUUGGUUUGUUGGUGGGGUAAUGGCCUACCAAGACUUUGAUCAAUAGCUGAUCUGAGAGGAUGAUCAGCCACAUUGGGACUGAGACACGGCCCAAACUCCUACGGGAGGCAGCAGUAGGGAAUAUUGCACAAUGGAGGAAACUCUGAUGCAGCGAUGCCGCGUGAGUGAAGAAGGCCUUUGGGUUGUAAAGCUCUUUCGUCGGGGAAGAAAAUGACGGUACCCGAAUAAGAAGGUCCGGCUAACUUCGUGCCAGCAGCCGCGGUAAUACGAAGGGACCUAGCGUAGUUCGGAAUUACUGGGCUUAAAGAGUUCGUAGGUGGUUAAAAAAGUUGGUUGUGAAAUCCCGAAGCUUAACUUCGGAACUGCAAUCAAAACUUUUUAGCUAGAGUAUGAUAGAGGAAAGCAGAAUUUCUAGUGUAGAGGUGAAAUUCGUAGAUAUUAGAAAGAA